UGUUUUUCUAUCAGGAUCAGACCAGAGUCUCCUGAAUCUGGAUAUGCAUCCAGCUGUGUGUCCUUUGAGAGUGACUGGUCAAAGGAGGAUGGGAUUAAUUUUAAACGUGUUUCUGACAAAAAGACCAGACCAGAUUCUCCUGAACCUGGAUAUGCAUCCAGCUGUGUGUCCUUUGAGAGCGACUGGUCAAAGGAGGAUGGGAUUAAUUUUAAACGUGUUUCUGACAAACAGAACAGACCAGAGUCUCCUGAACCUGGAUAUG
Molecule: long non-coding RNA, 262 nt
Organism: Sander lucioperca (pikeperch)
Lineage: Eukaryota; Metazoa; Chordata; Actinopteri; Perciformes; Percidae
Exons: 3
Source: RefSeq, a predicted model, not a curated record